This is a non-coding RNA of Malus domestica (apple), 1252 nucleotides long. Lineage: Eukaryota; Viridiplantae; Streptophyta; Magnoliopsida; Rosales; Rosaceae. The record is from RefSeq and is a predicted model, not a curated record.
CGGAGUACGAAGGAAAGGGACAGGCAGAAGCUUUUGGAGCAGACAAGGUUGGAGCGCAACCGCCGGUUGUGGAUACGGCAGCAGAACUUGGCCGCGUUGAAAAUCCAGCCUUUGGAUCACAGCCUCUGUGAAGAAACACUCACAGGUAGAAAGACGGAAACCAACUAUCGCACGAUCAGAGCAGCAACUGCAGCGGUUCACAGACCCGACAUGGAACCGCCAUUUAUCGCACGUUCUCGAUCCCCACAAAGCAUACAAAAGGGAAAAUUGGAUGAUUUCUUCAUCUGAAACUGGCAAUCCUGAAAAUCAAUGUGCAGACGAUGCGCUGAGGAAGAAUGCGCACUCAUUCUUUUAGACUAAAAACCCAGAAAUCCUAACUUUCAAGGACGAUCCGUCAAUUUCGGGUUUUGUGGAGUCGGAAAAUCGAAGACUAAGAAGCAGAGGAGGAGAUCGGUGAAGAAAAAUGGAGCGAAAGUAAAAGGAAAAAAUACCCAACUUCUGUAUGAUUUCUUCAUCAAACCUGCAAUCCGAAAAAUAAACGUGAGGAUUUACACAAAUCCUCGAGUAUUUCUUCAACUCUUUACUUCUCUGUCAUUAGGUACGUUCCAUCACUCACUCUCUCUCUCUCUCUCAAAUAUUACAAUGAGGAAGAACUCGCACACACUCUGUCAAAUUUUCUGUAUUUAGAAAAUAAACCCUCAAAUCGCUAACCUUGAAGAACCAUUUGGUAAGCAUUUUCCCCGCUACUCUAUGUCAGAUUUUUUGUAUUUUUCUUGGUUUUUGUGGGUCUAUUCAAGUUCUUGAGGGACCCGAAGUUUCUGCUAAAUGACUAUCUGGUUUCCAUGUUUGACGCCAUUUGGUUCCAACUGUUUUGUUUUCUUCCUCUUUCCUGUUUGGUCUGAAUUGUGUUUUCGGAUAGCUAAUAAUUAAUUUUUGGUUAAUUUUGAAGUUUUUUAUAUUUUGAGCCGAGCCCUGGUUUCAGAUGAUUUAUCGGAUUAAAGUUUUGUGUGACUGGUUUUACAGCGAUUCCUUGGUGGUUAAUUUCUUGGUUUCGGAUUAAAAGUUUUCUGCAAGUGGUUUCGAAUUAAAAGUUUUCUGAAGGAAACUGAGAUUGUAUGAUGCGGUUGAAGACGCCAACAUAAAUGCAACAGAAAGAAGAAGGACAAAUAAAGAAUAGAGGGUAAAUACAUUAGCUACCUUCGGUACUGUUAGUUGGUACUUUUCUCCUAUCUUUUUUUUUCUUUUUUUUUUC